UAGUGUUUCUCUUAUUUUUUUUCCAUUUAUAUCAUCUAAGAGUUUUUAUGCUUUCAAUGAAUAUUGAAGAUAAUAGCAGCAAUCCAGCAACCAAAAACGAAGAAAAAGCAUGAACACAUAUAUUACACCAUUUUCAAAGCCCGAUUAACUAGUUAUUGAUCGAAAACCUCUGCCUUUUUACUAUCGCCGGCAUCUCCAUCACUAUUGAUUUGGAUCUACAAUCUAUAAAUGACAUGGCUACAGAAUCAGUGUCCUACCAAUGGAACUUGCUGGUUAAUCAAGAAUCGUCCAUGUUGGUUUAAACUUGUCUGGACACACCAUAUGACCUGGUCACACUUUGAUGUUCAAUAAUUUAGCGGGUGGAAGAUUUUAAUAUGAUGAAAAGUUGCGGAAAUUAUUUGAAGAUUAUCAUUCGUCAGGAUUAGUUAU
Molecule: non-coding RNA, 429 nt
Organism: Nicotiana tabacum (common tobacco)
Lineage: Eukaryota; Viridiplantae; Streptophyta; Magnoliopsida; Solanales; Solanaceae
Source: RefSeq, a predicted model, not a curated record